This 560-nucleotide ribosomal RNA is filed under the name uncultured bacterium. RNAcentral describes it as "bacterial SSU rRNA". It matches the Rfam family "Bacterial small subunit ribosomal RNA", at positions 777 to 1345 of the family's 1533-position model. The record is from RNAcentral.
AAUAGAUACCCAGGUAGUCCACGCCGUAAACGAUGGAUGCUAGCUAUUGGGGGGAAUCGACCCCCUCCGAAGCGAAGCUAACGCGUUAAGCAUCCCGCCUGAGUAGUACGAGCGCAAGCUUAAAACUCAAAGGAAUUGACGGGGGACCCGCACAAGCGGUGGAGCGUGUGGUUUAAUUCGAUGGUAAAUGAAGAACCUUACCAAGGUUUGACAUCCCGGUAGCCGUUCUCCGAAAGGAGAAUUUCAUUUAGUUGGACCGGUGACAGGUGAUGCAUGGCCGUCGUCAGCUCGUGUCGUGAGAUGUUGGGUUAAGUCCCGCAACGAGCGCAACCCUUAUGAUUUAGUUGGAUUUUUCUAGUCAGACCGCCCCGGUAACGGGGAGGAAGGAGGGGAUGACGUCAGGUCAGUAUUGCCCUUACGUCUGGGGCUACAAACACGCUACAAUGGCCGGUACAAAGGGCUGCCAAGUCGCGAGACGGAGCAAAUCCCAUCAAAGCCGGUCUCAGUUCGGAUUGUAGGCUGAAACUCGCCUGCAUGAAGCUGGAAUCGCUAGUAACGGU